RNAcentral lists this long non-coding RNA (1111 nucleotides) under Lactuca sativa (garden lettuce). RNAcentral describes it as "long non-coding RNA (LSAT_LNC001956)". The record is from RNAcentral. Lineage: Eukaryota; Viridiplantae; Streptophyta; Magnoliopsida; Asterales; Asteraceae.
AGUGGAUUCCCCACCGCAGCGGAUGAAUAUCAAAAAUGUUGUCCGUGAAUUGCAGAAAAUUCUGGAUACACUGCAAAAUAUCCAUGGCUCCAUGUUCUCUCAUCUUCCUAAAUGAAAACAUAUAUAAUUAAAGAAGCCUCUGCCUUUCCUGAGAGGCACUUGUCUUUAUUACAAAACAUUAGUAGUAUUUGUCCGUAUUAUGUAUCAUUAGUUAGUUCAUUACACACCUGACUUGGGUGGUUACUGGUUAGGCAAUCACUGCUUCAUAUGGUAUGUGCAUUUCUAAUAUAUCUUCUACUUCACAUUUGACAUUUUAAUUCAACUCGAUGUAUGAGUUAGAAGCCAUUCAAGUAUCGCAUUUACAUUACUUAAAUGAUUUGACUUGUACCCAAUUUUCAUGAAUAAUCUUGAAACUCACCUCUCUGAACUAACAAGUAACAACAUUCCGACCUUAAUUGUUUACCUUUUCCCUCUACAACUUAUCAAUCGAAUUCCUCAUCCUUUACUAAAAUACAUAGUUAUUUAUCAACAUCAUUGAUGAUAUCAUUCUAGACACAAAACGCUAUAAGUGUAGCUAUUUCUAAUUUCUAUGCUUGGUUGUGCUUUAAAUAUUACAAACAGACAUAUAGAGCAAAAUCACCAUUUCUGUUUCAUACUAUUUGCACAAUUUUGUUAAAGUUUUAAACAUAUAAAAUGACACCAUUUCAUCUGAAUAACAGUAAUUUCUAGCCACCUUAGCCACAACCACAUAUUACAAAGAAGGAUUUCCAAGUAUUAAAGCAUCUUUUAGGUCAAAAUCCGACUAAAUACCCAAAAUCCCAAAUUUAUCAUUUUUAACAUAAGUAGGGUUCUCAUGCUCAUAAUAUGUGUACUCCAACCAAAUUACAUCAUCUUUCAGUAAACAGCAAGAAUUACAUUAAGAUUGGUAGAAUCAUCCAUAGAACAUUAGGGUUUACAUACCUCAGUUUCAUUCGUAUAAACAUCAAACCCACUGAUUCCCUUACGAAAAUGAUUCCCCAUCUUGCUGUCGAUCAAACUCUAACUACCAUCGCUUAAACCUUCUCUUUGCGGUGUUUGAGAUAUAUUUUUACGUUCAAGGACUUUUUUGUAA